RNAcentral lists this ribosomal RNA (481 nucleotides) under uncultured bacterium. Its description in RNAcentral is "partial 16S ribosomal RNA". It matches the Rfam family "Bacterial small subunit ribosomal RNA", at positions 28 to 507 of the family's 1533-position model. The record is from RNAcentral.
GAUGAACGCUGGCGGCGUGCUUAACACAUGCAAGUCGAACGAAGCACUUUAUUUGAUUUCCUUCGGGACUGAUUAUUUUGUGACUGAGUGGCGGACGGGUGAGUAACGCGUGGGUAACCUGCCUUGUACAGGGGGAUAACAGUUGGAAACGGCUGCUAAUACCGCAUAAGCGCACGGCAUCGCAUGAUGCAGUGUGAAAAACUCCGGUGGUAUAAGAUGGACCCGCGUUGGAUUAGCUAGUUGGUGAGGUAACGGCCCACCAAGGCGACGAUCCAUAGCCGACCAGGGAGGGUGGCCGGCCACUGUGGGACUGAGACACGGCCCAAACUCCUACGGGAGGCAGCAGUGGGGAAUAUUGCACAAUGGGCGAAAGCCUGAUGCAGCGACGACGCGUGAGCGAAGAAGUAUGUCGGUAAGUAAAGCUCAAUCAGCAAGGAAGAUAAUGACGGUACCUGACUAAGAAGCACCGGCUAAAUACGUG